Long non-coding RNA from Clupea harengus (Atlantic herring), 1069 nucleotides. The record is from Ensembl. NCBI's taxonomy places the organism in Eukaryota, Metazoa, Chordata, Actinopteri, Clupeiformes, Clupeidae.
AUAUAAAAAUAGGCUACUGUUCAGUCAAAUAUAACUUAUGGUUUAAUGGCUUCCCAAUAUUCUUUUAUGGUCACAAUGAAUACCUGGACUUGGGUAAAAAAAAUGAAUGGAGAUCUGGACACAAUUACGAAAAAAUAUAAUCAGAAUACACUCAACAGUAGCUAGGUCAAUGUACACUUCAGUACUUGAUCACCAAUGAUAAACAGAAUGUUGACUUAAUGUCUACUUCAAAAUGUAGUGAACUUCUCAACUUCAGAAUAGAUGUAGCACUGUUCAGAAAAUGUAUGUCACACUGUCACACACAGACAAUAUCAAUAGCAAUGAGAAAUGUUCUGUUGCAACUUUAUAUCACUGAGAAUUGAUUUAUAUCAAUGGUAAUGCAGAAUGAUAAUUCAGAAUAAGAGGUCGCCAAGACUAUGAGGUCGCCAAGCUAAAAUUGAGGUCGCCAAGACUAUGAGGUCGCCAAGCUAAAAUUGAGGUCGCCAAGACUAUGAGGUCGCCAAGCUACAAUUGAGGUCGCCAAGACUAUGAGGUCGCCAAGCUACAAUUGAGGUCGCCAAGAACAUAAAAGGUCGCCAAGAAUAUGAGGUCGCCAAACACAUAAGAGGUCGCCAAACACAUAAGAGGUCGCCAAGUCUUGAUGUGGGAAGUCUUGAUAAAGGAGAUCUUGAUAAAGGAAGUCUUCUUUUUUCUGUGAAUAAGGGACAAAAAUACAUAUUUAUGUGGCAAGUUACUUGAAAUGCAAAUCUGCCAAACCUCAUUAAAAAAAAAAUCGGUGCACAUCCUUAGUUAGACUAAAAUCUCUCAAUUAACAAGCAACAUCUUCACGACAAAGCAUUACCCACACAAACAGAUAUACUCAUAUAUAACCAGUCAGGGAUGGAAAUUAGCACCCGCUAUUUGCAAAUUUGAGCAAUCUACCCCUCCAAAAUGGCGGGUAAACAAAGGGGGAAAUUAACAAACAUAAUUAACGCUAUUCAAUCAUUCUGUGGAAAGUGUUAACAGUUCAAAUGGUCAGGAGAUAAAAAGGUAUUUUCAAGUUAUUUCACUUACCGAGCAUGGAAUGCAA